AUUGAACGCUGGCGGCAGGCCUAACACAUGCAAGUCGAGCGGAUGAGGGGAGCUUGCUCCCUGAUUUAGCGGCGGACGGGUGAGUAAUGCCUAGGAAUCUGCCUGGUAGUGGGGAUAACGUUCCGAAAGGAACGCUAAUACCGCAUACGUCCUACGGGAGAAAGCAGGGGACCUUCGGGCCUUGCGCUAUCAGAUGAGCCUAGGUCGGAUUAGCUAGUUGGUGAGGUAAUGGCUCACCAAGGCGACGAUCCGUAACUGGUCUGAGAGGAUGAUCAGUCACACUGGAACUGAGACACGGUCCAGACUCCUACGGGAGGCAGCAGUGGGGAAUAUUGGACAAUGGGCGAAAGCCUGAUCCAGCCAUGCCGCGUGUGUGAAGAAGGUCUUCGGAUUGUAAAGCACUUUAAGUUGGGAGGAAGGGCUGCUGGUUAAUACCCUGCAGUUUUGACGUUACCAACAGAAUAAGCACCGGCUAACUUCGUG
This 483-nucleotide ribosomal RNA is filed under the name uncultured bacterium. Its description in RNAcentral is "partial 16S ribosomal RNA". It matches the Rfam family "Bacterial small subunit ribosomal RNA", at positions 30 to 507 of the family's 1533-position model. The record is from RNAcentral.